Long non-coding RNA from Populus trichocarpa (black cottonwood), 715 nucleotides. RefSeq lists it as uncharacterized. The transcript is spliced from 3 exons. Lineage: Eukaryota; Viridiplantae; Streptophyta; Magnoliopsida; Malpighiales; Salicaceae. The record is from RefSeq and is a predicted model, not a curated record.
AAAAAAAUAGAGAAAAGCAGAUAGAGAGAGAGCUGCAGAUUUUGGAGUAAAACCAAUAAUGCUCCGGUGGCCAUAUCUCUGGACUCCACCGUUGGAUCAUGCUAAGUUUUGGAUAUGUUGUUCUUAUUACACUCCUCGACUAACGGACCGGAGGGAUUGGAAGUAAAACAAUCCAUUUCACAGAAAUAAUCAUCGGACAUUUCCUGAAAAACAAAAAGGAAAUGCACCUGCAGGGCAGUUUGGUCGCCGGCCGAUUUCUCUCUUUUCCACCGUUGGAUCGUGCUUAUUCUUGGCUAUGUGGUGAGACUAGAUGUUGUCUUCAUUCUGGACGGUGGAGAUCGGAAUCCCAUUUUCCGGCAAGGUUUCGUGCGCGUUGAACAGUAGCUCGUCCGUUUCAGGGGAAGCUGUGGGGACUGGACAAUUACAUGGAGUGGCAGCACGUGCACCUAUUCUAGGUCUAUCAGGGUCGCGUCAAGGGUAAUACUAGUUUAGUUAUCUUUUGCUUUUGAUCAUGUAAAUUAUUUGUAAAUUAAAAGACUUAUCUCCUAAAACUUGAGAUGUAAUAUCAAUCCGUAAAUUUGAAUGUAUGUCUUUAAUCUAAUGGUUGAAACUCUUAGUACCUAUUUGACCAUGCAUGUUUAUAGUUGAAAUUGAAUGUUUCAUUUGAACUACAUUAUAUGAUGUUAUUGAAUAAGAUGUGUUGUGUUGAUGAUAA